This 932-nucleotide long non-coding RNA is filed under the name Equus caballus (horse). Its description in RNAcentral is "lncRNA (ENSECAG00000052211.1)". Lineage: Eukaryota; Metazoa; Chordata; Mammalia; Perissodactyla; Equidae. The record is from RNAcentral.
GGCAGCAUGUGGCUUUGUUCAGCUGGAUUCCUGGCUGCAAGGAUGGAUGUGCAUUCACCGGCCUAUUUUGAGCAGAAAUCCUGAAGGCCUCUGCCGGCUUCCGAUGGAGGGUCCAGAGGCUUGUACCUUCAGCCCAUUCUUUACUUGUUUUUAUUCUAUUUUGCAUUCACAGAGAUGUUUUUGGUGGGUUUGCGGCCAGCUAUGUGGGUUUUUUUCCUACCUGGCAGGACUAAUGGUUUUCCCUAUACUCUGACUCUCUGUAGAUCAUGCCCCUGUUUAUAACAUCUCAAGGUGUCCCUAUUGAAGUUGAGUGGAAGUGCAUUACCAGACAUGUAAAGACCCUUGUUCACCCAGACUCUGCCCUCCAUUUAUAUGGAGUUGUUUUUAAUUCUCCAAAUAUGUCUUGCUUCCUCUCACCACCAGGCUCACUCAGGCUGUUUGUCCAUCUGAUAUAAUUUCAAUUCUCUGUCUUAUUUGUACUUAAUUCUCCUGAUCUUUCUCAUCUCCCUCUAACAUCACUUCCUCUCCUCUUCCUCCUUCCAUGUACUUUUAUUCUCCUACCCUACUCCCCAUAUGAUAACACUUAUCUCAUUUCCUUUUUCAUCAAUCUUUCCUCCUACACUGAGGCUUCUUAUGAGUACGGCUCACGUCUCACUCAUUUGGUCCUUAACCGCUGCACCCAGCAAAUCAUAGACACCCAGCAAAUAUUAGGAGAAUGAAUAAAUGAAAGGAGAUGCAAUUCUCCCAUUCAUCCAUUCCUUCCUUGCUGUCCAGAGGAAAUGGGUCAGAAUGCCGAGUGCUCUGUGACAAAGACAUCCCUUCACCGCGCCUUCAUGUUGCUGGGGAGUGGCACAGACUUUCUGCCGUGGCUUGUGUCUCUAUGGUGAUUAUUAGAAUGCAUCCCCAUCUCUCGAACUUGCUGAUCCUUGCAG